Toxorhynchites rutilus septentrionalis is the source of this 820-nucleotide long non-coding RNA. RefSeq lists it as uncharacterized. The transcript has 3 exons. NCBI's taxonomy places the organism in Eukaryota, Metazoa, Arthropoda, Insecta, Diptera, Culicidae. The record is from RefSeq and is a predicted model, not a curated record.
GCUUACGUGCUUCCGACUCAAGCUUACGGGCUUGAAAAUCGCUCACCAUCCGUUUGUUCUGCUCUGUGAGGCGAAGUUUUUCCUCUUCGGUUAAAAUUUUGGUUCUACUCGUUGCAAUAUCACCAAGAUUGAAGGCGUUACGUUGGGGUUCCAUCUUGCAGUGAUAAGCUGAAACUGAUCAAAUUUUUUUUCGGCUCAACAUUUCGGAUGUUGGAUGGCGCGGCGGAGCUCACAAUCGAACGCGAUAACGGACGAGAUGGAAAUGAACGAUCGAAAUAAUAAUUUCUAGGAAAGAGACUUGGCGUUGAUUCUCAAUUGGGAGUUUCGUUACAGCGGUACUGUUAUUUUGACAUUUUACUGAAAUGCGGAUACAGUCAAGUAACAAAUUCAACAACGCGGAGACAAAAUACAGGCGAAUUUCUAGUGAACGCAGCUAGUCUUUGUUGCUAUAUCGCGUCAAUGGAAGGAAAGCAGCAGCAACAGCAGAAAUGAAUAAAUAAAAAUGAAAGAAUAGCGGUGAUCUGAAUGGAAUGAAAACGGAGUUUGCAGCUUCGGUAAAGUAUUGUUUUUGGGAUCAGACCAAAGCGCUCAUCUCAACAUAAUCACCAACAACAACUUCAACACGAACGUAACCAAAUUGAAUACCCGUAGAAUAAAAAACUCAUCCAUCUCAACAGUCAUGAUUGCCCACGAAGUUAGGUGUGUCUGCUAGAGGGUACGAAAGGGACAAAAAUAAUUGAGCCGACUGCGAUUCCGAUGAAGAAAUUUGUAGCUGACGGGAGUUUACUGAUGACUGUAUAAUCGCUGCGAAUAGUAUACA